Molecule: ribosomal RNA, 428 nt
Filed under: Verrucomicrobiota bacterium
Lineage: Bacteria; Pseudomonadati; Verrucomicrobiota
Description: Verrucomicrobia bacterium partial 16S ribosomal RNA
Rfam family: Bacterial small subunit ribosomal RNA
Source: RNAcentral
UAGGGAAUCUUCCGCAAUGGACGAAAGUCUGACGGAGCAACGCCGCGUGAGUGAAGAAGGAUUUCGGUUCGUAAAACUCUGUUGUUAGGGAAGAAAAAAUGUAUAGUAACUAUAUACAAAAGAGACGGUACCUAACCAGAAAGCCACGGCUAACUACGUGCCAGCAGCCGCGGUAAUACGUAGGUGGCAAGCGUUGUCCGGAUUUAUUGGGCGUAAAGCGAGCGCAGGCGGUUAGAAAAGUCUGAAGUGAAAGGCAGUGGCUCAACCAUUGUAGGCUUUGGAAACUGUUUAACUUGAGUGCAGAAGGGGAGAGUGGAAUUCCAUGUGUAGCGGUGAAAUGCGUAGAUAUAUGGAGGAACACCGGUGGCGAAAGCGGCUCUCUGGUCUGUAACUGACGCUGAGGCUCGAAAGCGUGGGGAGCGAACAGG